UCCCCAAAGAAAAAGCAGUCCUCCAGUGAGCAGAGACCCUCAGGUCUGCCACAGCCUCCAAAUCCCGCUGGGACCAACGUUCCAAUCUCCCUCCUGCAGGAGCUUUUCACAGCACUUAGAGAUUUGAACAAAGCCAGACAAACUGCUGAUGAGCUGCAGAAGCAGGUGCUGGCUUCCUUCUCAAAUCAGCCCACAAACAAUGCCAAGUAACCGAGGACAGAUACGGCAGCAGAGGAACCUGGGGCGAGGACACAGAGUGGAAGAGAAGGGCGAGGGAUGCACCCAGAACAGACCUGACUAUGGGUCACUCUGCCCUACAUGCACCAAAGCUCCAUGCUGCUGCCAGCCAGGAGGUGUAAGCUCCCAGCGAUUGGCUGCACCUGCAACUGCAGCCCCAGGUGCAGGAAGGGACAUGACUGUGAGAGAAGAAUCCCUCCAUGAGGACAGGGACAAGAGGCAGCAGACCUGAAAAAUGCUCCUGCCGAUCAGCAGCCAGAGGGGCUCCUUUGGCUAAGGACAUCAACCCCUGUAAUUGCAGGAGGGAGCCCACCAGGACACACAGUCAGUGAGCAGCAGAUCUCUGUCAUGCCCUUCCAGGGUGCAGGAGCUCUCCCUCUUAAGUGACGUCACGGGUGGUUAUCCCCUCUUUCCUGUGUAAGAGCAGCAGCUGCAGCUCCUCUGCUCACUACUCAGCCAUCCUUGCAUCCUUGCGUGGACAGCUCUGUUGCCAUCUUCUACGGAGAGGACAGAGUGGCUGUCCUGGUCCCUGAGGGCAGAGACCCGGGCCUGGCAUUCCCCGAUGCUUUCAGCAUGGACUGAGAGCAGUGCCAGUCCCUCAAGGCAGCAAAGGGCAGAAGGCAAUGAUGUUGGGCGUCCACAGUGGGACUGAGAAGAUAGAGGCCCCAGUGCUGCUUCUGGCUGCAGUAGGACAGGCAGCGACCCUGGGAACAGCAGAAAGAUGCCUCCAUGGGUACCACCUCUCCUUGCUGUGGCAUACUAAGGAUCAGUCUCCUUCAAAACCGCUGCUUCUCUUUCAAGGAAAAUCAGGGCCAUGGCAUGCUGCUGACCCAAUAGCCCUGGAAGGAGAAAGAGAGACAGAGGAAGUGCCAACACAGAGGUAACCAUGAAAAUUCUAGAGUUUGGGACUUCCGCACGUCUUCACAGCACUUGAGGAUGCACUCCUCAGUGCCCAGGAAAAUGGAUAAGAAGUGUGAAAUACUCGGGCAGCAACGAUUCCACCAGCUCGGUCACAGUGAGUGAAAACCGCUGCUCUUUGAGGACAUCGCUGUAUCCGUUGAGCACCAGUUGCGGGGAAAUGGAGGCACCUUGCCGACACCCAAAAGCCCAGGAGAACUUGGAAAGCUCCAUCCCAGAAAGGAAAGCGGAGCAGGGACGGGGCCUCAGUGAUCAGAGAAAGCCUGAUGUGAUGGUGGCUCCCACGGUGCAGGACCUGCCCUCAGAGGAUGAGGCUACGCAAAGUCAUUCGGAGCAUCCUAACAUAAGAAUGCAGGCACCACAGUUCCUGAAGAGGAGUUUCUCAGAGCCUGUCCUGGGUCAGAGAGACUCCCAGCUUCCCCAUCCUCUGAGGCACUCAAGGAGGUCCACUU
Gallus gallus (chicken) is the source of this 1607-nucleotide long non-coding RNA. RefSeq lists it as uncharacterized. Lineage: Eukaryota; Metazoa; Chordata; Aves; Galliformes; Phasianidae. The transcript has 4 exons. The record is from RefSeq and is a predicted model, not a curated record.